CAAUAGCGUAUAUUAAAGUUGUUGCAGUUAAAAGCUCGUAGUUGGAUUUCGGAGUGGGCCAGUUGGUCCGCCGCAAGGUGUGUUACUGACUGGUUUGCUCUUCUUCGCAAAGACUGCGUGUGCUCUUGAGUGAGUGUGCGUAGAAUUUACGACGUUUACUUUGAAAAAUUAGAGUGUUCAAAGCAGGCUAUUGCUUGAAUACAUGAGCAUGGAAUAAUGGAAUAGGACUUUGGUCCCAUUUUGUUGGUUUCUGGGGCCGAAGUAAUGAUUAAGAGGGACAAUUGGGGCAGUCCGCUGAUUUCGUUUGGUCAUGAGGUGAAAUU
This 323-nucleotide ribosomal RNA is filed under the name uncultured eukaryote. RNAcentral describes it as "SSU rRNA". It matches the Rfam family "Eukaryotic small subunit ribosomal RNA", at positions 592 to 918 of the family's 1831-position model. The record is from RNAcentral.